RNAcentral lists this ribosomal RNA (256 nucleotides) under uncultured Pseudomonas sp. RNAcentral's name for it is "partial 16S ribosomal RNA". It matches the Rfam family "Bacterial small subunit ribosomal RNA", at positions 96 to 356 of the family's 1533-position model. Lineage: Bacteria; Pseudomonadati; Pseudomonadota; Gammaproteobacteria; Pseudomonadales; Pseudomonadaceae. The record is from RNAcentral.
CGGCGGACGGGUGAGUAAUGCCUAGGAAUCUGCCUGGUAGUGGGGGACAACGUUUCGAAAGGAACGCUAAUACCGCAUACGUCCUACGGGAGAAAGCAGGGACCUUCGGGCCUUGCGCUAUCAGAUGAGCCUAGGUCGGAUUAGCUAGUUGGUAAGGUAAUGGCUCACCAAGGCGACGAUCCGUAACUGGUCUGAGAGGAUGAUCAGUCACACUGGAACUGAGACACGGUCCAGACUCCUACGGGAGGCAGCAGUG